CGGUUAACGGAGCGAAAGCGACGUUCAACCUCAAAAGAAGCAGAGGGGGCUUAGUGGUGGGGUGACUGCGUACCUUUUGUAUAAUGGGUCAGCGACUUAUAUUCUGUAGCAAGGUUAACCGAAUAGGGGAGCCGGAGGGAAACCGAGUCUUAACCGGGCGUUAAGUUGCAGGGUAUAGACCCGAAACCCGGUGAUCUAGCCAUGGGCAGGUUGAAGGUUGGGUAACACUAACUGGAGGACCGAACCGACUAAUGUUGAAAAAUUAGCGGAUGACCUGUGGCUGGGGGUGAAAGGCCAAUCAAACCGGGAGAUAGCUGGUUCUCCCCGAAAGCUAUUUAGGUAGCGCCUCGUGAAUUCAUCUCCGGGGGUAGAGCACUGUUUCGGCUAGGGGGCCAUCCCGGCUUACCAACCCGAUGCAAACUGCGAAUACCGGAGAAUGUUAUCACGGGAGACACACGGCGGGUGCUAACGUCCGUCGUGAAGAGGGAAACAACCCAGACCGCCAGCUAAGGUCCCAAAGUCAUGGUUAAGUGGGAAACGAUGUGGGAAGGCCCAGACAGCCAGGAUGUUGGCUUAGAAGCAGCCAUCAUUUAAAGAAAGCGUAAUAGCUCACUGGUCGAGUCGGCCUGCGCGGAAGAUGUAACGGGGCUAAACCAUGCACCGAAGCUGCGGCAGCGACGCUGAUGCGUUGUUGGGUAGGGGAGCGUUCUGUAAGCCUGCGAAGGUGGCCUGUGAGGGUUGCUGGAGGUAUCAGAAGUGCGAAUGCUGACAUAAGUAACGAUAAAGCGGGUGAAAAGCCCGCUCGCCGGAAGACCAAGGGUUCCUGUCCAACGUUAAUCGGGGCAGGGUGAGUCGACCCCUAAGGCGAGGCCGAAAGGCGUAGUCGAUGGGAAACGGGUUAAUAUUCCCGUACUUGGUGUUACUGCGAAGGGGGGACGGAGAAGGCUAUGUUGGCCGGGCGACGGUUGUCCCGGUUUAAGCGUGUAGGUGUGUGUUCCAGGUAAAUCCGGUUCACUUUAACACUGAGGCGUGAUGACGAGGCACUACGGUGCUGAAGCAACAAAUGCCCUGCUUCCAGGAAAAGCCUCUAAGCAUCAGGUAACAUCAAAUCGUACCCCAAACCGACACAGGUGGUCAGGUAGAGAAUACCAAGGCGCUUGAGAGAACUCGGGUGAAGGAACUAGGCAAAAUGGUGCCGUAACUUCGGGAGAAGGCACGCUGACACGUAGGUGAAGUGAUUUACUCAUGGAGCUGAAGUCAGUCGAAGAUACCAGCUGGCUGCAACUGUUUAUUAAAAACACAGCACUGUGCAAACACGAAAGUGGACGUAUACGGUGUGACGCCUGCCCGGUGCCGGAAGGUUAAUUGAUGGGGUCAGCGCAAGCGAAGCUCCUGAUCGAAGCCCCGGUAAACGGCGGCCGUAACUAUAACGGUCCUAAGGUAGCGAAAUUCCUUGUCGGGUAAGUUCCGACCUGCACGAAUGGCGUAAUGAUGGCCAGGCUGUCUCCACCCGAGACUCAGUGAAAUUGAACUCGCUGUGAAGAUGCAGUGUACCCGCGGCAAGACGGAAAGACCCCGUGAACCUUUACUAUAGCUUGACACUGAACAUUGAGCCUUGAUGUGUAGGAUAGGUGGGAGGCUUUGAAGUGUGGACGCCAGUCUGCAUGGAGCCGGCCUUGAAAUACCACCCUUUAAUGUUUGAUGUUCUAACGUGGACCCGUGAUCCGGGUUGCGGACAGUGUCUGGUGGGUAGUUUGACUGGGGCGGUCUCCUCCUAAAGAGUAACGGAGGAGCACGAAGGUUGGCUAAUCCUGGUCGGACAUCAGGAGGUUAGUGCAAUGGCAUAAGCCAGCUUGACUGCGAGCGUGACGGCGCGAGCAGGUGCGAAAGCAGGUCAUAGUGAUCCGGUGGUUCUGAAUGGAAGGGCCAUCGCUCAACGGAUAAAAGGUACUCCGGGGAUAACAGGCUGAUACCGCCCAAGAGUUCAUAUCGACGGCGGUGUUUGGCACCUCGAUGUCGGCUCAUCACAUCCUGGGGCUGAAGUAGGUCCCAAGGGUAUGGCUGUUCGCCAUUUAAAGUGGUACGCGAGCUGGGUUUAGAACGUCGUGAGACAGUUCGGUCCCUAUCUGCCGUGGGCGCUGGAGAACUGAGGGGGGCUGCUCCUAGUACGAGAGGACCGGAGUGGACGCAUCACUGGUGUUCGGGUUGUCAUGCCAAUGGCACUGCCCGGUAGCUAAAUGCGGAAGAGAUAAGUGCUGAAAGCAUCUAAGCACGAAACUUGCCCCGAGAUGAGUUCUCCCUGAGACUUAGAGUCUCCUGAAGGAACGUUGAAGACGACGACGUUGAUAGGCCGGGUGUGUAAGCGCAGCGAUGCGUUGAGCUAACCGGUACUAAUGAACCGUGAGGCUUAACCUUACAACGCCG
This 2424-nucleotide ribosomal RNA is filed under the name Salmonella enterica subsp. enterica. RNAcentral's name for it is "partial 23S ribosomal RNA". It matches the Rfam family "Bacterial large subunit ribosomal RNA", at positions 527 to 2925 of the family's 2925-position model. Lineage: Bacteria; Pseudomonadati; Pseudomonadota; Gammaproteobacteria; Enterobacterales; Enterobacteriaceae. The record is from RNAcentral.